RNAcentral lists this ribosomal RNA (538 nucleotides) under uncultured archaeon. Its description in RNAcentral is "bacterial SSU rRNA". It matches the Rfam family "Archaeal small subunit ribosomal RNA", at positions 61 to 576 of the family's 1478-position model. The record is from RNAcentral.
AGCGUCUCUAGUUAUGGUGAGACGCGGCAGACGGCUCAGUAACACGUGGCUAACCUACCCUUAGGACAGGGACAAACCCGGGAAACUGGGGCUAAUACCCGAUAGGCGAGGGCGCCUGGAAUGGUUCUUCACCCAAAGGGCUUUGAAAGCAUGCUUUUCAAAGUCGCCUGAGGAUGGGGCCGCGUCCGAUCAGGUUGUUGGUGAGGUAACGGCUCACCAAGCCUAUAACCGGUACGGGCCGUGAGAGCGGUAGCCCGGAGAUGGGCACUGAGACAAGGGCCCAGGCCCUACGGGGCGCAGCAGUCGCGAAAACUCCGCAAUGCACGAAAGUGUGACGGGGCUACCCCGAGUGCCGUCCGCUGAGGAUGGCUUUUCCUCGGUGUAACUAGCCGGGGGAAUAAGGAGAGGGCAAGACUGGUGUCAGCCGCCGCGGUAAUACCAGCUCUCCGAGUGGUAGGGAUGAUUAUUGGGCUUAAAGCGUCCGUAGCCGGCUUAGCAAGUCUCCUGUUAAACUCAGCGACCCAAUUGUUGAAUCGCG